RNAcentral lists this ribosomal RNA (503 nucleotides) under uncultured bacterium. RNAcentral's name for it is "bacterial SSU rRNA". It matches the Rfam family "Bacterial small subunit ribosomal RNA", at positions 28 to 523 of the family's 1533-position model. The record is from RNAcentral.
GACGAACGCUGGCGGCGUGGAUUAGGCAUGCAAGUCGAACGGUAUCAUCCUUUCGGGGGUGAGAGAGUGGCGAACUGGUGAGUAACACGUAGGUUAUCUACCCUCAAGACGGGGACAACCCAGGGAAACUUGGGCUAAUACCGGAUGUGAGCAACUUUUAGUUGUUUGAAAGGUGGCGUAAGCUGUCGCUUGGGGAUGAGCCUGCGUCCUAUUAGUUAGUUGGUGAGGUAACGGCUCACCUAGGCAAUGAUAGGUAGGCGGCCUUAACGGGUGGUCGCCCACACUGGGAUUGAGAUACGGCCCAGACUCCUACGGGAGGCAGCAGUCGAGAAUAGUCUACAAUGGUCGGAAGACUGAUAGUGCGACGCCGCGUGAGCGAUGAAUCCCUUCGGGGUGUAAAGUUCUUUUAUAUGUGAGCAGUGCUUCUUAUAUUAACAGUAUGGGGAGAGAGAUAUUAGCAUAUGAAUAAGCAACGGCUAACUCCGUGCCAGCAGCCGCGGUAA